GAUAAACGCUGGCGGCGUGCCUAAUACAUGCAAGUCGAGCGAACAGACGAGGAGCUUGCUCCUCUGACGUUAGCGGCGGACGGGUGAGUAACACGUGGAUAACCUACCUAUAAGACUGGGAUAACUUCGGGAAACCGGAGCUAAUACCGGAUAACAUGUUGAACCGCAUGGUUCAACAGUGAAAGACGGUCUUGCUGUCACUUAUAGAUGGAUCCGCGCCGCAUUAGCUAGUUGGUAAGGUAACGGCUUACCAAGGCAACGAUGCGUAGCCGACCGGAGAGGGUGAUCGGCCACACUGGAACGGAGACACGGUCCAGACGCCUACGGGAGGCAGCAGUAGGGAAUCUUCCGCAAUGGGCGAAAGCCUGACGGAGCAACGCCGCGUGAGUGAAGAAGGUCGUCGGAUCGUAAAACUCGGUUAUUAGGGAAGAACAAAUGUGUAAGUAACUAUGCACGUCUUGACGGUACCUAAUCAGAAAGCCACGGCUAACUACGUGC
RNAcentral lists this ribosomal RNA (498 nucleotides) under uncultured bacterium. RNAcentral describes it as "partial 16S ribosomal RNA". It matches the Rfam family "Bacterial small subunit ribosomal RNA", at positions 28 to 508 of the family's 1533-position model. The record is from RNAcentral.